UUGGGAAUCUUGCGCAAUGGGCGAAAGCCUGACGCAGCGACGCCGCGUGCGGGAAGAAGGCCUUCGGGUUGUAAACCGCUUUCAGGGGGGACGAAGCCACUCGGGUGAAUAGCCCAGAGGGUGACGGUACCUUCAGAAGAAGCCCCGGCUAACUACGUGCCAGCAGCCGCGGUAAUACGUAGGGGGCAAGCGUUGUCCGGAUUUAUUGGGCGUAAAGAGCGUGUAGGCGGCCAGGUAGGUCGGUUGUGAAAACUGGAGGCUCAACCUUCAGACGUCGACCGAAACCCCUUGGCUAGAGUCCGGAAGAGGAGAAUGGAAUUCCUGGUGUAGCGGUGAAAUGCGCAGAUAUCAGGAAGAACACCCGUGGCGAAAGCGGUUCUCUGGGACGGUACUGACGCUGAGACGCGAAAGCGUGGGGAGCGAACAGGAUUAGAUACCCCAGUAGUCCCUGAGCGGGCUGGCAAGGCGCAU
RNAcentral lists this ribosomal RNA (471 nucleotides) under uncultured bacterium. RNAcentral describes it as "bacterial SSU rRNA". It matches the Rfam family "Bacterial small subunit ribosomal RNA", at positions 355 to 825 of the family's 1533-position model. The record is from RNAcentral.